CGUGCAGGCGGUUUCGUAAGUCGGACGUGAAAGCUCCUGGCUUAACUGGGAGAGGCCGUUCGAUACUGCGAGACUUGAGGUUGGGAGAGGGACGUGGAAUUCCCGGUGUAGUGGUGGAAUGCGUAGAUAUCGGGAGGAACACCAGUGGCGAAGGCGGCGUCCUGGCCCACACCUGACGCUGAGACGCGAAAGCGUGGGUAGCGAACG
Molecule: ribosomal RNA, 207 nt
Filed under: uncultured bacterium
Lineage: Bacteria
Description: partial 16S ribosomal RNA
Rfam family: Bacterial small subunit ribosomal RNA
Source: RNAcentral